Molecule: ribosomal RNA, 3337 nt
Organism: Neurospora crassa OR74A
Lineage: Eukaryota; Fungi; Ascomycota; Sordariomycetes; Sordariales; Sordariaceae
Rfam family: Eukaryotic large subunit ribosomal RNA
Source: Rfam
UGACCUUGGAUUAGGUAGGAAUACUUAUUGAAUUUAAGUAUAUUAAUAAGUAGAGAAAAAGAAAUUAAUAGGGAUUGUCCUAGUAAUGGUGAGUAAAGUAGUAAUAGUUUAAAUUUGAAAUCUAGCUUCGGUCCGAAUUGUAAUUUAUAGAAGAAGCUUUUAGUAAAGCACCUUUUGAAUUCCUUAGAAUAGGGCGCUAUAGAGGGUAAGAGUUUUAUAUAGUUGGAUGUUGAUUUAAUGUAAAGUUCCUUCGAUAAGUUGAGUAGUUUGGGAAUAUUAUUUAAAAUAGGAGGUAAAUUUCUUUUAAAGUUAAAUAUUGGUUAGAGAUUGAUAGUAUAUAAGUAGAGUAAUUGAAAAAUGAAAAGUAUUUUAAAAAGAGGGUUAAAUAGUAUAUAAAAUUAUUAAAAGGAAAGCGUUUGUAAUUAGAUUUACACUAUUCCGAUUAUCUGGUAUUCUUAUUAGUAUAUUUAGGAUAAUUUAAGUUAGUAUUAGUUUUGGUAGGGGGAUAAAAGUUUAGGGAAUAUAGCUCCUUUGGGAGUAUUAUAGUUUUGGGUGUAAUGUUUUCGCUAGGAUUGAGGUUUGUGUAUUUAUAAGGAUAUUAGUAUAAUAGUUAUUAACAAUCUAUUUUGAAAUAUAAAUUAAGGAAUUAAAGUUUUAUAUAAGUAUUUAGGUAUAAAACCUAUACGUAUAAUGAAAGUGAAUAUAAGUGAGAGUUUCGGUAUAUUAUUGACCGAUUUUAAUAUAUUUAGAUGGAUUUAAGUAAGAGUAUUAAACUUUGGAUUUGAAAAAUAGUAAAUUAUAUUUAAAUAGAAUAAAGUUAGAGGAAAUUUUAGUAGAGGUUUGUAACGGUUUUAAUAUAUAAAUUAAUUAUUAAAUUUAAGUAUAGGGGCGAAAGAUUAAUUGAACUAUUUAGUAGUUAGUUACCGCCGAAGUUUCCUUUAGGAUAAUAAUAUUAUUCUUUAGUUUUAUAAGGUAAAGCGAAUAAUUAGGGAUUCGGGGGCGUUUUUUAGCUUUUAUUUAUUUUUAAACUUUAAAUAUAUAAGAAGCCUUUAUUAUUUAAUUGAACGUAGGUAUUCGAAUAUACUAAUAUUAGUAGGCUAUUUUUAGUAAAUAGAAUUAGUAAUGUAGGAUAAAUUAAAUACGGGGUUAAAGUAUUAGAGUAGAUGUUUAUUAGAUAUUAUAAAAGGCGUUAAUAUAUUUUAAUAGUAGGAUAGUAGCUAUAGAAGUUGGAAUUUACUAAAGAUUAUAUAAUAAUUUAUUUACCGAAUAUAUUAGCCUUAAAAAUAGAUAGCACUUAAGUAUCCUAUUUAUACCCCGCCCUUAGGGUAGAAAUAAUACUUUAAAGAGUAAGUAGCUAUAGAGGUUAGUAAUGAAGCUUAGGGCGUGAAUUUAGGUCGAACGGCCUCUAGUAUAGAUUUUAGUAGUAAUAGUAAAUAUUUUAAUAAGAAUUUAAAGGAUUGAAGUGGGGAAAGGUUCUAUAUAAAUAGCGGUUGGAUAUAAGUUAAUCGAUCUUAAACUAUAGGGAAGUUCCGUUUUAAAGGGGUAUUUAUAUUCCGUAUAGUAAAAGGGAAGUUGGUUAAUAUUCCAGUAUUUAAAUAUAGGUUUUAUAUAGUAACGUAAUUAAAUAUAAAGAUAAUAGCGGGGGCCCCGGGUAGAAUUCUUUUUUCUUCUUAACAGUCUAUUACUUUAAAAAUAGUUUAUUUGGAAAUAGGGUUUAAUAGCCGGAAGAGCCCGAUAUUUUUAUUAGGUCCGGUACAUUUUUAAUAUCCUUUAAAAAUCCGCGGGAGGGAAUAAUUCUUACGUUAGGUUGUAUUUAUAAUUAUAGUAGGUUUCUAAGGUAAAUAAUUUUUAGUUAAUAGAAUAAUAUAAAUAAGGGAAGUUAGUAAAAUAGAUUUAUAAUUUCGGGAAAAGGAUUAGUUCUAAGGGUUAAGUAUAUUAGGCUUUAGGUAGAUACCUUAGGAAUAGAUUACUAUUAGUUGGGUAAUUAGCCGGCGGUUUUUAGUAUCCGGAUAUAGAAGUUUUUAAUAGACUUCGGUCGUCCGGCAUACGUUUAAUAAUUAAUUUAAAAUUAGUAUAAAUAAGGGGAAUUUAAUUAUUUAAUUAAAAUAUAGUAUUACAAUAGUUAGAAAGUGGUAUUAAUAUAAUAUGAUUUUUAUUUAGUAUUUUGAAUAUUAAAGUAAAGAAAUUUAAUUAAGUGCGGGUAAACGGCGGGAGUAAUUAUAAUUUUCUUAAAGUAGUUAAAUAUUUUAUUAUUUAAUUAGUAAUAUAUAUAAAUAGAUUAAUAAGAUUCCUAUUAUCCCUAUCUACUAUUUAGCGAAACUAUAGUUAAGGGAACGGGUUUGGUAGAAUUAGUAGAGAAAGAAGACUUUAUUGAGUUUAAUUCUAGUUUAAUAUUGUAAAAAGAUAUAGGAGGUAUAGAAUAAGUAGGAGCUUUAGCGCUAGUAAAAUACUAUUAUUCCUAUUGUUUUUUUAUUUAUUUAAUUAAACGGGGCUGGAUUUUCGUUUAACUUCUAGUUUUAAGGUCCUUCGCGGGCCGACCCGGAUUAAAGAUAUUAUUAGGUAGGGAGUUUGGCUGGGGCGGUAUAUUUAUUAAAUUAUAAUAUAGGUGUUUUAAGGGGGGUUUAUAGAGAAUAGAAAUUUUUAGUAGAAUAAAAGGGUAAAAGUCCCUUUAAUUUUAAUUUUUAGUAUGAAUACAAACUAUAAAAAUAUAGCUUAUUAAUCCUUUAAUCCCUCGAAAUUUAAAAUUAGAGGUACUAGAAAAGUUAUUAUAGGGAUAAUUGGUUUGUAGUAAUUAAACAUUUAUAGCGAUAUUGUUUUUUAAUCCUUUAAUAUUAGUUUUUCCUAUUAUAUUAAAGUAGAAUUCGGUAAGCGUUAGAUUAUUUACUUAUUAAUAGGGAAUGUGAAUUGGGUUUAAAUUAUUAUAAGAUAGGUUAGUUUUACCCUAUUAAUAACUUUAUUAUAAUAGUAAUUAAAUUUAGUAUAAAAGGAACUGCUUAUUUAAAUAAUUGGUUUUUGCAGUUAUUCGAUUAGGUAGUACUAUAACGCUACUAUUUGUUGGAUAAUAAUUAAACGCUUCUAAGUUAGAAUCUAUAUUAGAAUACAAUAAUACUUUUAAUAUAUUAUAGAUAUAUAAGAAUAGGCUCCGGCUUCGUAUUUUAAUAAGCGAUUCCUCUAUUGGCUUUGAAGUAGCUAAUAGUAAUUUGUAUAUUGUAAUUUUAAUAUAUAUUAAAUUAAAUCCUUUAUAAACGAUUUAGAUGUAUAAAAGGGUUUUAUAAGUAGUAGAAUAGCUUUAUUAUUAUAAUUUACUAAGAGUAAGCCCUCCUUCGUUUAAAUUUUC